This 24-nucleotide non-coding RNA is filed under the name Arabidopsis thaliana (thale cress). Lineage: Eukaryota; Viridiplantae; Streptophyta; Magnoliopsida; Brassicales; Brassicaceae. The record is from RNAcentral.
UACAGUGCGGUACGGUUCAACUGC